GACGGACGCUGGCGGCGUGCCUAGUACAUGCAAGUCGAACGCUUCUUUCCUCCCGAGUGCUUGCACUCAAUUGGAAAGAGGAGUGGCGGACGGGUGAGUAACACGUGGGUAACCUACCCAUCAGAGGGGGAUAACACUUGGAAACAGGUGCUAAUACCGCAUAACAGUUUAUGCCGCAUGGCAUAAGAGUGAAAGGCGCUUUCGGGUGUCGCUGAUGGAUGGACCCGCGGUGCAUUAGCUAGUUGGUGAGGUAACGGCUCACCAAGGCCACGAUGCAUAGCCGACCUGAGAGGGUGAUCGGCCACACUGGGACUGAGACACGGCCCAGACUCCUACGGGAGGCAGCAGUAGGGAAUCUUCGGCAAUGGACGAAAGUCUGACCGAGCAACGCCGCGUGAGUGAAGAAGGUUUUCGGAUCGUAAAACUCUGUUGUUAGAGAAGAACAAGGACGUUAGUAACUGAACGUCCCCUGACGGUAUCUAACCAGAAAGCCACGGCUAACUACGUG
This 508-nucleotide ribosomal RNA is filed under the name uncultured bacterium. RNAcentral's name for it is "partial 16S ribosomal RNA". It matches the Rfam family "Bacterial small subunit ribosomal RNA", at positions 28 to 507 of the family's 1533-position model. The record is from RNAcentral.